Molecule: long non-coding RNA, 996 nt
Filed under: Nicotiana benthamiana
Lineage: Eukaryota; Viridiplantae; Streptophyta; Magnoliopsida; Solanales; Solanaceae
Description: long non-coding RNA (NBEN_LNC031181)
Source: RNAcentral
CGCUACCGUGGUUUAAAGGAGGAAACGUAUACCAAAUGCAAAGUAAUUUAGUAAGCAGUCAACGUUACAUAUUCUUUUUAUUUUUGUUUAUACAAAAUUUUUAAGGUACUAUGAAAACGAGAAAAUUAAAGUAAAAGAGUUGCAAGUAGUUAGCUUCGAUACAAACUUUAGAAAGCAACAUGUCGUUGCAUUUAAAAUUCAUUUAACAAUGGAUCUCGAAUCAAAUCUUACAUAGAGUGAUAAAGAAUAUGAAAGUCGAAGCCCAUUUGAUAAUACUACUAUGAUUGCUUAUUUGUUUGAUUUUAUUUGGAAUCCUCUAAAUUAGAUGAAAAAACUAACAGAAAAGAUGGAUAAGACCCAGUUGUCCUUUGAAUAAAAGUAUCUUAUCUCAAAGUUUAAAAAAGACGAAAUAUUCGGUAUUUAAAAGGAGUAAUCUGAUGUACAAAAUAUUCCGCCCUUCAUACAGGGUCCUUGAAAGAGGCACAUCACAGAAGGUGUGAUGUAGGCAAUAUCGGAGGCAGGAUCUCCGCGAAAGGAGUUCAAAAAGAAUUUAUUUUAAAAAAAAUUAUAGCUAGUGCAAAUGGAACUUAUGAUCUUACAAAGAUUUUGAACUCCCUUGACCACUAAGUUACAAUUUUGGGCUAUGUCAGAGGGAGUCAAAAUUCAAAACUUAGUAUAUAGAGGUAAAAAAUAAAUUUUGUCAUAUAUACACAGUGUAACUUUUCGGCGAAGAGAGUCGGGUGAAUCCCCAUGCGCCCCCUCUAAAUCCGCCCCUGGAUGUAGGGGGCCAACUCUGAUGCAAAUAUUAGUGGAUGAUUUCAAUGCUCGAACUUGUGACCUAUAGGUCACGUGAAGAUAAUAUAUAUAUAUAUAUAUAUAUAUAUAUAUAUAUUAUCCAUUUGAUUGCCUAGCUAGACUAGGCAGACUACACAUCUUGCAGUUUGUGGGAUAGCAAAUUGCAAACAUUUUUUUUUCUUCAAUUAUAUAGACUUUGAG